UACAGAGGUCCCAAGCGUUGUUCGGAUUCAUUGGGCGUAAAGGGUGCGUAGGUGGUGCUGUAAGUCAGGUGUGAAAUCUCGGGGCUCAACCCCGAAACUGCACUUGAUACUGCAGUGCUGGAGGACUGGAGAGGAGAUCGGAAUUCAUAGUGUAGCAGUGAAAUGCGUAGAUAUCUGGAGGAAUACCGGUGGCGAAGGCGGCAUCCUGGACCGACAUUGACGCUGAGGAGCGAAAGCUAGGGGAGCAAACGGG
RNAcentral lists this ribosomal RNA (253 nucleotides) under uncultured bacterium. RNAcentral's name for it is "partial 16S ribosomal RNA". It matches the Rfam family "Bacterial small subunit ribosomal RNA", at positions 524 to 776 of the family's 1533-position model. The record is from RNAcentral.